Long non-coding RNA from Piliocolobus tephrosceles (Ugandan red Colobus), 1793 nucleotides. NCBI's taxonomy places the organism in Eukaryota, Metazoa, Chordata, Mammalia, Primates, Cercopithecidae. The record is from Ensembl.
GUACAGGUAUAAGUGCAGGUACAGGUACACGCGCAAGUACACGUGCAAGUACAGGUGCAAGUACAAGUGUAGGUACAAUAGCAACUACAAAUGUAACUACAAAUGCAACUACAAAUGCAACUACAAAUGCAACUACAAGUGGUUUGGGUAACAAAUAUAACAUUAAUAAUGUUUUUGAUUUUGUAUAUAAAAGUGAUAAUAUUCAUCAAGUUAAAACAAAUGACAAAUUAAAAAAUGAAAAAAAAACGAACGAGUUAUAUGAUAAUAAAAAUAACAUAUAUAGGGAGAUGAGUACACAACAAAGGACAGCUACACAAGAAGGUAGUUCUGAUUAUAAACAUCAUGUACGUAAUGUGUUGAACAAGUAUGAUAACAUGUUUAACAAUAAAAAUAUGAAUAGUCAUAAUUCACAUAAGGAUCUACUUGAUAUAGAAUUUGAUACUACUUAUGACAGUACAUCAUGUUAUAAAAAAGAAACAUGGCCUAACGAAUUGGAACUAAACGAGGGAAUAAUCGAACGGCAUUUCAAUAAAGAGAGUAUAAAGAAUAGAAGUAGUAGUGGUAAUAACAAUAGUAGUAGUAGUAUUAAUAAAAAAGAAGAAAAAAAUAAAAAAACAUUAACAUUUAAUACAGCAAAAAAAUGGUUAACAAACCAGUUAAAUCAUAAGAAUAUACUUAAUAUAUUAUCAGAUAUAACAAGCUAUGAUGUUAAAAAUGUAAAUGACAAUUACGAAAUUUCAUCAUUCAAAUCGAAAAGAAACAGACAAGAAAACAGUUAUGGUAUAAAUGAAAAUAAAAAUAAUACAAAUGAAGAUAGUAGUAGUAAUAGUAAUAGCAAUAGUAGUAUUAAUAAUAAUAAUAAUAGUAGUAAUAAUAAUCGUUUAUAUAUUUUAGAUAAAAUAAAGAUGAAAAAAACUUAUAGAAAGUAUAGAUCAGGAAGAAAACAUGUAAAUAGUACUAAAACUGAAAAAGUUAAUACAAUUGAAAAUGGAUAUACAUAUACAAACCAGAGUAAUAACAAUAAAUCACAAGAACAAAAUUUAUUAUCAUCAGAUAUAGAUGCUAAUUUACUUUUUUAUAAUAAUAAUGUUAGAGAUCAUGAUAAAAAUGGUUUUGUUAGUGAUACAGCUGUUAACACUACAUAUGUGAGAAAUAAAGAAUAUGAUAUUAAACGUAUGGAUAUUCUAAAAACACAUACAAAAAAUAAUAUACAGACAUAUAAUAACAAAAAUGAACAAAAUAAAUUCGAAAAGGAGAUGGAAAGCAUGAAAAGAGAAUGUGAAGAAGGUAAAAAAAGUGAAUAUACUUAUGACUUGUUUGAUAUUAAUGAGUAUUUUGAAAAAAAUAUAAAAGUAAUGGAUAAAAAUGAUAAUUUAAAAUCGAAAACGAAGAUAAUUACUAAUAAUGAAAAAAAAAUAAAAAAUUCGGAUAUGGGAGAAGUUGAUUAUGGUUUGUCGGAUUAUAGUUUGAUUGACGAAACAAAUGUAACUAAAGAUGGUUAACUAAAGUGGGUGUAAAAAAUCAAUUAAAGAAGAGUAGUAGUAUUGAUGAUUAUAUUCUGAAUGCGCAUUUCGAUAUUAAAUCAGCAAAGGUUGAAUCAGUAGGAGUGGAAAAAAAAUAUAAAAAACAGUAACAAUAUUAAGGACAGUAAUAAUAUUAAGGACUUUAAUAAUAUUAAGGACAGUAAUAAUAUUAAGGAUAGUAAUAAUAUUAAGGAUAGUAAUAAUAUUAAGGACAGUAAUAAUAUUAAGGAUAGUAAUAAUAUAAAAAACAGUAACAAUAUAAAAAACAGU